RNAcentral lists this ribosomal RNA (492 nucleotides) under uncultured bacterium. RNAcentral's name for it is "partial 16S ribosomal RNA". It matches the Rfam family "Bacterial small subunit ribosomal RNA", at positions 29 to 507 of the family's 1533-position model. The record is from RNAcentral.
AGUGAACGCUGGCGGUAGGCCUAACACAUGCAAGUCGAACGGCAGCACAGUAAGAGCUUGCUCUUACGGGUGGCGAGUGGCGGACGGGUGAGGAAUACAUCGGAAUCUACUUUUUCGUGGGGGAUAACGUAGGGAAACUUACGCUAAUACCGCAUACGACCUACGGGUGAAAGCAGGGGAUCUUCGGACCUUGCGCGAUUGAAUGAGCCGAUGUCGGAUUAGCUAGUUGGCGGGGUAAAGGCCCACCAAGGCGAGGAUCCGUAGCUGGUCUGAGAGGAUGAUCAGCCACACUGGAACUGAGACACGGUCCAGACUCCUACGGGAGGCAGCAGUGGGGAAUAUUGGACAAUGGGCGCAAGCCUGAUCCAGCCAUACCGCGUGGGUGAAGAAGGCCUUCGGGUUGUAAAGCCCCUUUGUUGGGAAAGAAAAGCAGCAGGUUAAUACCCCGCUGUUCUGACGGUACCCAAAGAAUAAGCACCGGCUAACUUCGUG